This 550-nucleotide ribosomal RNA is filed under the name uncultured bacterium. RNAcentral's name for it is "bacterial SSU rRNA". It matches the Rfam family "Bacterial small subunit ribosomal RNA", at positions 355 to 896 of the family's 1533-position model. The record is from RNAcentral.
UAGGGAAUCUUCCACAAUGGACGCAAGUCUGACGGAGCAACGCCGCGUGAGUGAAGAAGGGUUUCGGCUCGUAAAGCUCUGUUGGUAGUGAAGAAAGAUAGAGGUAGUAAAUGGCCCUCAUUUGACGGUAAUUACUCAGAAAGUCACGGCUAAAUACGUGCCAGCAGCCGCGGUAAUACGUAGGUUGCAAGCGUUGUCCGGAUUUAUUGGGCGUAAAGCGAGUGCAGGCGGUUCAAUAAGUUUGAUGUGAAAGCCUUCGGCUCAACCGGAGAAUUGCAUCAGAAACUGUUGAACUUGAGUGCAGAAGAGGAGAGUGGAACUCCAUGUGUAGCGGUGGAAUGCGUAGAUAUAUGGAAGAACACCAGUGGCGAAGGCGGCUCUCUGGUCUGCAACUGACGCUGAGGCUCGAAAGCAUGGGUAGCGAACAGGAUUAGAUACCCUGGUAGUCCAUGCCGUAAACGAUGAGUGCUAAGUGUUGGGAGGUUUCCGCCUCUCAGUGCUGCAGCUAACGCAUUAAGCACUCCGCCUGGGGAGUACGACCGCAAGGUUG